CAAAUAUAAGAAAAUCCAUAAAGUGCAAAAAUAUGAUGGAAGCUUAGUGUUCCAUUACAUGCCUUUCCAUUCAGGUCGGCGGAUUCCUCCUAACGCGACCUCCCUCUCUGCCUGUCUGUUAUUCAAAUCUCCGACCAAGUGAGAUUUCAAGGAACUGCAGCUUAGCGAGCUGCGGUCUAAACCCAAUUUUGUAAGAAAAAGACUUUAAAAAAAAAGAUGGCAUUGGUGGUAAUUUGUGGGCAGCCGUGCAGUGGGAAGUCGACAGCUGCGAAAUGUCUAGCUGAAGCUCUGAAUGAAUCAGAGUGUAAACAGACUGUAAGGAUCAUCGAUGAGACUUCAUUUCAUCUUGAUCGUAAUCAGAGCUAUGCUAAUAUGCCAUCAGAGAAGAAUUUACGGGGAGUGCUUAGGUCCGAAGUUGAUAGGUCUGUCUCCAGAGAUAAUAUCAUUAUAGUUGAUUCUUUGAACAGUAUCAAGGGUUAUCGAUACGAGUUGUGGUGUUUGGCUCGUGCUGCUGGGAUAAGGUACUGUGUGUUGUACUGUGAUGUUAGAGAAUCGCAAUGUAGGAAAUGGAAUGAAGAGCGUCGGGAGAAGGGAGAGGCUGCAUAUAAUGAUGUGAUAUUUGAGGAUUUAGUUAGAAGAUUUGAGAAACCGGAUAGAAGAAAUCGUUGGGAUUCACCUUUGUUCGAGCUAUGGGCUCAUAAUGAUGGAGUGGAGAGAUCUUCUAUUGCCAUUGUAGAUGUGGUUUCGUAUUUGACAAAAAAAGCAGACUCGAAAUCUCGGGAUGUUAAGAUUUUGCAGCCAACCAUUGCCACACAAAAUACCCGGUUUUCAGAGGCAAAUUCACUGUAUGAGAUGGACAGAGCCACGCAGGAGGUGAUUAAUGCUAUUGUGGAAGCACAAUCCCAGUCAAUUGGAGGACCUCUUGCCAGUAUCUCCAUUGGUCAAGGUUUACCGAAUAUCGAUAUUUCUAGAUCGGUUGGGUUGCCGGAGCUACGGAGAUUGCGGAGAACAUUCAUCAAGUUAACAGGACAAACAAGUUUGAGUGGACGACCUCCCCCUUCCGAUUCCAGCAGUGCAAAGAGGAUGUUUGUAGACUAUCUGAAUCGAGAACUUGGAACUAUUGCUUGAAAAAGGAGUAAUGGAAAAGCCAACAAAGUUUUCAGGCAUGAGUUCUUCGCCCCUUGCAUGUUCCAUGAUUAGCAUGAUCCUAUCCCUUAUUAAAUUAACUCCAAGGUUAUACGUACGGAUUUUAAGUGGUAGUGAAUCUUCCACACAAAGACGACAAUCUUAAAAGGUAUUUUAGCCGACCACAACAUCCUUCAAGCAUCUUCGAAAUGUUCAUGUUGUGGAAAUUCAACCAUCUGCCACUUUGAUUGUUGAGCUCGUGAGAGUAUGAUGAUUUUGCUGAAAAGUUACCAUCUCGGUCUCUUGUUGCCUUCAAAUAGAGAUUUUGCUUCCCACCAUCUUCGAGGGUCCAUACUUUGCAAUUCAUCUCGAACCUAUUCAUAAUUCUCUUCCUCCAAAUGGCUUGGAUCAUUUAACCUAUUUUUUCUCUGUUACGUGAUGUUAUGUUUGAUUAGAUCCCUUAUGUUCAUAAUGUUUCUCCAAGUACACGAGUUACGUGAUUUUGGUUGGCAUUCAAGGAAAUUUUCCUUGAAGAGCUAGCUAUGAUAACUAACAAUUCUGCAUGCUUGCUUUACUAGUAGAGCUUUAUUCAUGAUGUUCAUUUUUUCUUAUGCCUAGUCCUCCAGAUAACUUACUAUUGCAAAUUUGAUCCCAGUUUAUGUAAUGUAGUAUUUUGGUCUUCCCCCCACCAAAA
This is an RNA transcript of Gossypium arboreum, 1819 nucleotides long. It is a transcript of the gene named protein KTI12 homolog, with no coding region annotated. NCBI's taxonomy places the organism in Eukaryota, Viridiplantae, Streptophyta, Magnoliopsida, Malvales, Malvaceae. The transcript has 4 exons. The record is from RefSeq and is a predicted model, not a curated record.